GGUUAGCUAGGCAAAAACAAGUCUAAGACCAAACAGUGUCUGUUACAACAAAACUUAACUAGCAUAAAAACUUCUUUCUGCUUCCUCUGUCAACAGUUAGCCUCCAAAGUACAUAAGUGAACUAACAACAACUUGCUAUCUUAAAUUACUGUUACAGAGCUAAUGUUGUUAGUACAUAAAAUCUAGUUCAUCUUAAUUGCAGAAAUACAGAUUAAUGCCAAUGAGUCCACUGGAAGUUGAGAAGGCAAAUAGGUAAAGUAAUAACCAGUACUAAAUUGGAGAGCAAGCAUGCCAGAACAGAGUCCCUGUUUCUGAUCUAUAUUCACAGGCAAGAGUACAAAUGGGGAUAAUCCGGCUGCAAUGUCUCAUCUCCUUCCCUCCUUUGUCUACUCAAUGACACACUUUAGUGGCAAUUGGGGAGAAUUAUGAUCAUCAGCAAGGAUGGAGGGAGCUACUCAAUGGCACAGUUUAGUGCCUAUUGGGGGAAGUUAAUAAUCAUCAGCAAGUAUGAACAGAGCUAUUUUUUUGGUCAACAUUGUAACAUUCUUUCAAUCAUCUACUCGGUGCCAACUCAGAUAACGCAUCAUAUGUUGCAAAAAGCAUUAAAGGAGCAUCACAUGUGCAAGAUAGCUAGUAACUGGAGAACACAGCACUGAAGAACACAACAGUCUGAAUUACUGAUUCACACCAAAAAUCACAUACAACAAUGUAAAAUAAAAAAGAGGUAAAUACACCAGAAGUCAUAGAACUUGCAUGUGACGGUCA
Molecule: long non-coding RNA, 765 nt
Organism: Triticum dicoccoides
Lineage: Eukaryota; Viridiplantae; Streptophyta; Magnoliopsida; Poales; Poaceae
Exons: 2
Source: RefSeq, a predicted model, not a curated record